CCUACGGGAGGCUGCAGUAGGGAAUAUUGCUCAAUGGGGGAAACCCUGAAGCAGCAACGCCGCGUGGAGGACGACGGCUCUACGAGUUGUAAACUGCUUUUGUACCGGGGUAAAAUGCUCUACGAGUAGGGUUUUGAAAGUACGGUACGAAUAAGGAUCGGCUAACUCCGUGCCAGCAGCCGCGGUAAUACGGAGGAUCCGAGCGUUAUCCGGAUUCAUUGGGGUUAAAGGGUGCGUAGGUUGUUUUAUAAGUUAGCGGUGAAAUACCGAUGCUCAACAUCGGGGCUGCCGCUGCUACUGUAGGACUAGAGAUCGGAUGCAGCAGGCGGAAUGUGUAGUGUAGCGGUGAAAUGCAUAGAUAUUACACAGAACACCGAUUGCGAAGGCAGCUUGCUAGGCCGGAUCUGACACUGAUGCACGAAAGCGUGGGGAUCGAACAGGAUUAGAUACCCGGGUAGUC
This 460-nucleotide ribosomal RNA is filed under the name uncultured bacterium. Its description in RNAcentral is "partial 16S ribosomal RNA". It matches the Rfam family "Bacterial small subunit ribosomal RNA", at positions 338 to 795 of the family's 1533-position model. The record is from RNAcentral.